This 774-nucleotide ribosomal RNA is filed under the name uncultured Neocallimastigales. Its description in RNAcentral is "partial large subunit ribosomal RNA". It matches the Rfam family "Eukaryotic large subunit ribosomal RNA", at positions 24 to 642 of the family's 3401-position model. The record is from RNAcentral. Lineage: Eukaryota; Fungi; Neocallimastigomycota; Neocallimastigomycetes; Neocallimastigales.
UAUGUGAUCGUCUCUCGCAUAUCAAUAAGCGGAGGAAAAGAAACUAACAAGGAUUCCCCUAGUAACGGCGAGUGAAGCGGGAAGAGCUCAAAUUUGAAAUCUUAAAGGGUUUCCCUUUACGAAUUGUAGUUUAAAGAAGUGUUUUCUGUUGAGGUUUUGGUAAAAGUUCUUUGGAAUAGGACAUCAUAGAGGGUGAGAAUCCCGUAUUUGACCUUUACUUUCAACUUUGUGAUACACUUUCAAAGAUGUCGGAUUGUUUGGGAAUGCAGUCCAAAAUGGGUGGUAAAUUUCAUCUAAAGCUAAAUAUUGGCGAGAGACCGAUAGCGAACAAGUACCGUGAGGGAAAGAUGAAAAGAACUUUGAAAAGAGAGUUAAACAGUACGUGAAAUUGUCAAAAGGGAAGCGUUUGACACCAGUGUUGUUUUUCUGAAAAUCAAUUAAAGAACUGUUUAUGCUAAGUUGUUUAGACUUUAUCAGCUAACUGUUUAGUUUUGAGCUUUUCUUUAAUGCACUUUUCAGUUAACAAGUCAACAUCAAUUUCUUUUGCUGUAAAAAAGCUUGAGGAAGGUGGCUUGAGAUUCGUCUUAAGUGUUUAUAGCCUCUUGCCUAUGCAGUCGGAGAGAUUGAGGUCUGCAGCGUAGAUCCUUCGGGGCUAAAUGCAUUUGUGCUAAGUUAUAGCAUUUUAUAGACAACUUGUUGACUAUGAUUUGUCUUGUAGCUUACUCGCUUAUGUUAUUUUACCUACGCUUAGGAUGUUGACACACGCGCGUGCUC